GUAGGACCCAAGAACGGCAAGCGAGUGCGUGGAAAAAGAUAGCGUUGUUGCUUGUUCCUAAAUUGAAGAAUAAACCCGUAAAAGAAGAAAAUAGAAUGAAAAGGCAGGAUGACGUGCUUUGCUUCUUAAAUUACGUGCGAAAAUCGUUGUAAAUCGUCUAAAUGCCAUGAACGUUACUAUCCUCAUUGUACAUACAGUGAAGUGAUGCGUUAAAAAUGGCGUCGAUCACGAAGAAGAAUCAGGACGAGUCCAUUAGGAGCGAAAGGAAGAUUAAGCGAGAAACUCGCACAGAUUUAUCAGCUCGUAAUUUCAUGGAGGAUCCUUGGAUUCUUCUCAUUCCUUUGGCGUUCGUGGAACUCGGAAUCGGUUCGUGAAUAUAUAUCAUGCCAGAGGCACGCCAACACGACGCACCAUAAAGUAAAAUGCAUAAUUGAGUCGCGGAGUGAUUAGGAGGCGCCUGGAGAAACUCCAGGAGUAAUGUGCGUCCCUCUCCAGUGUCCUGAGGGGGUGAAUAUCAAGGGAUGAUGGAGUACGAGGGGUGGAUCAAGGAUGAUUUGGAGUGAAGACCAUUGCCAAGGACUGAUCUCCCUGUAUCGUCGCUUCGGGACACUGUUGAGGCUUCCUGUGCAGGUUGUUGUUGAAAACUUGACCGCAGGAGGGCAGCGCUUGUUGAUCGGUACUCGACUGGGAGGGGGUACUGACUGGUAUGCGGAAGAAAAUUUGGAUUAGUGCUUCAGUCUUCGAACGGCCGAUCUGGGAUAACGCGAGUUUCGAGUUCGCGUUCUUUUCUUUCUUUGUUCCUCCUCUCCUUACGUGUAUCUCUUGUGACUCAUUCGGUGCUUCUUCAUCUUCUUCUCAUCUCUCGUCUGAGGUAUAUUCUUUACUGCUCAUGUACUUCUCUCUCUCUCUUUCUUUCUCUGUGUUCCCUACUUUCCCACUUUCUUCCGCUGGGCUAUACCUUCUUCGCGAUAUCACUUUGGUAUCGCAGUAAACUCCGCAGCAAAUAUGCCAAGACGGUUUGAGCGGUGGGGAGUCAUGGGUUGGCGUCGGCAUCCCUUUCUGCGCUCUCUAGGGGAGCGGUCACGUCAAUCUGCGUUCGCUUGUGCUACUCCACUUGGCGUAUGGGACCUCAAAUCCCGGUAACUUCUAAUCACCCUCUGCAGGAAACACUUUGCGCGCUGAUCUAGGGUUAACGUGGUUCGUCUUCGGAGAUCGAACGUGGUUCCUUACGUCUAACCUGCCCUAGCUUCGGCUUUGCGGCGGGCAGUGACGAAGGUUGAAGCGUAAAUUCAAGUCCCUUCGGGGACUUCCGGCCUCGGUCGGUGCUGAUGCCCAGUGAUUCGUUGCGGUCGACUCGGCUAGGGGUGAUCGCGAAUUUUCAUAGCCUGGCUCCUUUUCCCGUGUUCUGGUUCUGCGACACAAGCAACUGCUUAGUCCAGGCCAUUCACAUAUGCUCAUGUUGUUCAAAGUCUUGUACUCAUGUUUGUCAAUGCUUUGUGUCCGCGACCAAAGUCUGUCGAAGGUCGGAAGCCGCUUCGCGGCCCUUUAAGCUCUUGCGUCACAGCAGUCCGCUGUUACUUCGGUAUCUGUUAGCCGGGCCUCCGCUGUCCGUGGGGGUUGGGCCCGAUAGCGUGUAUUUCGCACCCUAGCCUGCUUAAUCCGGUCCAUCGCGCUUGUCCCCGGUCAAGUGUCAUGUCUGUAACAACCAUUCCCUGUCAAUAUCAUCAAAAUCAUCUCUUUUAAUCUCUUCGGGCCUUCAGUUCAUUCAUUUCAUCUUCCUUUCACUUUCCUUCCUCGCGACGCAGUAUUUCUCUACCGCGCGCGAGAGAAUUCGUAUUUUGACCAAAUUGUGAAAAGUGAAUAAAAUGAUCCUCGUCCGAAACAAUACAAAGUGCUGGAAAAAUUGUAAAAAGUGAAUAAAGGGAACCUCAUCCGAAACUACACAAAGUGCUGAAGAAACCGUCAAGUCAUCCCCAAAGCCGAUCCUGAGAAUUCAAAGAACGGACUGGACCUGCCAGCUACACAAGGAAAUCCAGACGAAGAAAGAUCCUGUGGUUCCUGGUACAUCCUUCACGGAUCGACGAUCCUCUCAGAUCUCUCGGCUGGCAAUGACACUUGGCUGGAAUGAACGUGCAGGCAGGGAAGCCAACCCUGAAAACUGAGAAAACUGAAAAAUCGACAUACAGAUUAUCCACGAUGGAACUUUGGUCACGUGACAAAUGAAAGUCAAAAGGAAGCUGUGGCCCACCCCUCAAUUACGCAAUCGUCCGGCAUCUCGAGAAUCUUGGUAAUUUGACGUGUUCCUCGAAGAAGGAGACCCCGAAGUACAUCCGUGGCAGGAACACAUUCGUCUUGGAGCGUACAAGCUCAUGUGUCUUCCAGGAAGUAGACUUGGAGGAUCCCGGAAAGUCCCUGAGAAUCGGCCGGAACUAACAGGAUCCUUACGUGGUCGUUGCUGACGCAGCCUCGUCAACGAGAUCGUUUCCCAGCAUCCGGGAUUCAGGAUAAAUCCAAGAAAGGGAGUCUACGCCUUUUCCCUGUAAUCGCGAAAACAAUUCCGAGCGACAACUCCACUUAUGAAUGCGCAACCGGGUGUAGCCGAACUCGUUAAAAAUCUGUACUCGUCAUAAUUAAUAAGCUGCGCCGAGGAUUAGCCGUGGAAGCAGGUGUAAACAUUGGAAUGCCAAUAUAAGAGGGAACAUUGGCUGGAACAGUGUAAGCUGCAGGGGACGCGGGAAUGGAAAAGCUCAAGAGGAAAGCUGGCUGUGAAAGGCGCUUGCGCAACUGUGCGGGUCAGAGUGCGCCCAGUAUAUAACCGGGCGGAUGCCGUCGUCCUUUAGUCUCGCGUAAACCGUCGUCGCGACGACUUUUCAAUCGGUUCGCCAAAUCGCGCUGCGAAUUUUCGUCCAAGUGCUACGAGUGAUAAGACAAGUGAAUUAACAAGACGAACAGCGAUAUCAAUCGAAACGUACGUGGUAGCGUAAUAAAAAGAAACGCACGUGUCGUGGGAAGAUUUACGAAAAAAAAAAUUAGACAUAGAUUAAUUAGACAUUCGAGUUCGCUUUGAAUUUUUGUACCUCGAAAUUUCUACUAAAUCGGAACACUCCCGGGCGUUUUCUUCGUGAAAAAGAUGUUCGACUUUGCUGCGAGUUCGAUUCUCGACGAAAGGAGCAAACACGAAGAGUAAAUAAAAGUCACAAGAGGGAUACGAAAAGAAACGUGGAGAAUCGUCAGAGAGGGAAAUGCAGGAACUGCUGAACUCCUUUGAAGUCGGCCGACGGAGGAAUUGAAGUUGCAAAAGUAUCGCAGGGGAAUUUCGAGGCUGCGCCUGGCCCGAGAUACACGCUUUACUCGUUUAUCGUUGGCGCACUGUAUAGAUAUAUUUAUAUAUGCGUAUAUACAUUUCGUAUAUGUACUGAAAUACACUAGCCGUAGGUUACGCAUAUGUAUGCACUUGUAAAUCAUCCCUUAUAUCGCAAUGGUACUGUAAGCCCGUGCAUCUGUAUUAACUGUACUGUACAGUGGCGUAGAAAGAAAACUAAAGGAGAAAAGUGGUAGGGAAGUGGGAUUGAAGAGAAGACGAAAAAAAGGGAUGAAAUUUAGGUUGCAAAGUCUGUAUAGGUCAUCCCGUGGCUAGCAAAUCCAUUGCAGGGUAUCUGGUUACGGUGCCGUGUGUAUGGGAUUCGAGUUUCGGAUAAUUGGACCUUAAUUCUCUUGAACGGGCUAAUUAUCGUGGAUUUUUUUUUAAUCCACACGAAAAAAAAAAAUUAACCUAGUGUAUCGCCGUACGACAGGGGUGAUAGUGGAUAUUUAGGUUUAUCGAUUACACGGAGAAGGAAAGCUCAUGGUAAAAGUUGACCAAGUGAUUGAGGUCGUCGAGUGAUUUUUCGUGUACAGGGGCGACGUUUUGGAUUUAUUAUUUCACGAAAAAUGUAUUGUAUAGGUAAAAACGAAUGAGGUCAAUUUGAGUAAACUGUAAGGUCGUGAGAGCUCGAUGAGUCUAAGAGGAAUAAAAUGUACCCGAGAGCUUUCGCCUGUUGGCGAACUCGCGAUCUCGGGGUUGAGUAUGAACGUUACUUGGUAAUUACGUAGUUAAUCUUAUCGAAUAGCCUUCUGAUAACGAGAAGACACCUCGGAAUAAGGUCAUGAGGUCAGAAAUUGAAACGGGUUAAAAAUCGGUUCGCGGGUUGAUAAAAAUUAUGUGGAUUAACAAGUGUGUACUGUGAUGCGAUUUGGAAGAUUUACCGAGGUACUUAUGGACCAGCCUAAAUGUCACGUGAAACUCAAGGUUAAGGAGGAGUGCGGGUUCACAUGGAAAUGCGAGAAAGGAUACGCGUCGCGAUACAGAUCCUCCGCAGUGGAAAUCGCCUUAAGCCAGUCAGACAGUUCAAGUCGAGCUAGCGUGUCGGUAACGGUCGGACGUCGAUGCGUCUGAGCGACGUCGACGUCGAGGAUCUCGUGCCUCCGUCGACGAUAAUAAUAAUAAUCAGCUGAACGCCGUCGUAGCUGUCAAAGUGAUCCCUCAUAUAUAUAUAUAUAUAUAUAUAUAUAUUCUGAAGAGAAAGAUGAGACGCAGGAAUAAUAUUUG
Long non-coding RNA from Cephus cinctus (wheat stem sawfly), 4588 nucleotides. RefSeq lists it as uncharacterized. The transcript has 4 exons. Lineage: Eukaryota; Metazoa; Arthropoda; Insecta; Hymenoptera; Cephidae. The record is from RefSeq and is a predicted model, not a curated record.